Molecule: ribosomal RNA, 460 nt
Filed under: uncultured bacterium
Lineage: Bacteria
Description: partial 16S ribosomal RNA
Rfam family: Bacterial small subunit ribosomal RNA
Source: RNAcentral
CCUACGGGAGGCUGCAGUGAGGAAUAUUGGUCAAUGGACGAGAGUCUGAACCAGCCAAGUAGCGUGAAGGAUGACUGCCCUAUGGGUUGUAAACUUCUUUUAUAUAGGAAUAAAACGAGGCACGUGUGCCUUUUUGCAUGUACUUUAUGAAUAAGGAUCGGCUAACUCCGUGCCAGCAGCCGCGGUAAUACGGAGGAUCCGAGCGUUAUCCAGAUUUGUGGGGUUUAAAGGGAGCGUAGAUGGGUUGUUAAGUCAGUUGUGAAAGUUUGCGGCUCAACCGUAAAAUUGCAAUUGAUACUGGCAGUCUUGAGUACAGUUGAGGUAGGCGGAAUUCGUGGUGUAGCAGUGAAAUGCUUAGAUAUCACGAAGAACCCCGAUUGCGAAGGCAGCUUACUAAACUGUGACUGACAUUGAUGCUCGAAGGUGUGGGUAUCAAACAGGAUUAGAUACCCGAGUAGUC